RNAcentral lists this ribosomal RNA (493 nucleotides) under uncultured bacterium. RNAcentral describes it as "partial 16S ribosomal RNA". It matches the Rfam family "Bacterial small subunit ribosomal RNA", at positions 28 to 506 of the family's 1533-position model. The record is from RNAcentral.
GACGAACGCUGGCGGCGUGCUUAACACAUGCAAGUCGAACGGUGAAGCGCCUUCCUUUUUGGUGGGUGUGGAUGAGUGGCGAACGGGUGAGUAACACGUGAGUAACCUGCCCCCUUCUUCUGGAUAACCGCAUGAAAGUGUGGCUAAUACGGGAUAUUCUGGUUCUGUCGCAUGAUGGGUCUGGGAAAGAUAUUGUUUCGGUGGGGGAUGGGCUCGCGGCCUAUCAGCUUGUUGGUGGGGUGAUGGCCUACCAAGGCGGUGACGGGUAGCCGGCCUGAGAGGGUGGACGGUCACACGGGGACUGAGACACGGCCCAGACUCCUACGGGAGGAGGCAGUGGGGAAUGUUGCAAGAUGGGCGUAAGCCUGAUGCAGCGGCGCCGCGUGGGGGAUGGGGGCCGUCGGGUUGGGAACCUCUUUCGCCAGUGAAGCAGGCCUGCCUCGUUUGUGGGUGGGUGGACGGUAGCGGGAUAAGAAGCGCCGGCUAACUACGU